GGCCGCGUGGUCUAGUGGUAUGAUUCUCGCUUCGGGUGCGGAGGGUCCCGGGUUCGAUUCCCCGGGUGCGGGCC
RNAcentral lists this transfer RNA (74 nucleotides) under Pythium insidiosum. Its description in RNAcentral is "tRNA-Pro". The record is from RNAcentral. Lineage: Eukaryota; Oomycota; Peronosporomycetes; Pythiales; Pythiaceae.